UUGAUAGAUUAUUUUGUCGCA
This 21-nucleotide non-coding RNA is filed under the name Caenorhabditis elegans. Lineage: Eukaryota; Metazoa; Nematoda; Chromadorea; Rhabditida; Rhabditidae. The record is from RNAcentral.